CUGUGUUAUCCUGAAAAUAAAUAGUACUUUUAUUGUUUAACAUUUUGAACAAGAUAAUCAAUAACGAGACGGUUGCUACAAAUGCUAAUUCUAAUUUUAUGUUUGUAAUUAGAACUUUACUCGUAAAAGAUUUGAUUCUUAGGUUAAAACAUACGUAUCGUGAGGAUAACAGAAGUAUCGGCUACCUGACAAACCUGAUUUAUGACGGGCUCGUGGAUAUUUUUGGUUGUUUUAUGUUUUCGACUGUGUAAUAUAAUAUUCAUAUCCGAUUGUUUUCGUCCGUAAAAAUAUUUUUUUAGAAUUCAAUGGUGCGGUGAAAUUAAUCUAUAAUGUGAGAGUACGGCCGUACAUUAUAUAGAUCUUUACAGUUCACAGUGGCAG
This 381-nucleotide long non-coding RNA is filed under the name Carica papaya (papaya). RNAcentral's name for it is "long non-coding RNA (CPAP_LNC003488)". Lineage: Eukaryota; Viridiplantae; Streptophyta; Magnoliopsida; Brassicales; Caricaceae. The record is from RNAcentral.